RNAcentral lists this ribosomal RNA (512 nucleotides) under uncultured bacterium. RNAcentral's name for it is "bacterial SSU rRNA". It matches the Rfam family "Bacterial small subunit ribosomal RNA", at positions 17 to 518 of the family's 1533-position model. The record is from RNAcentral.
UUAUGGCUCAGGAUGAACGCUAGCUACAGGCUUAACACGAUGCAAGUCGAGGGGCAGCAGGACGAUAGCUUGCUAUGUUGCUGGCGACCGGCGCACGGGUGAGUAACGCGUAUCCAACCUUCCCCUUAGUAGGGCAUAGCCCGGUGAAAAUCGGAUUAAUACCCUAUGUUGUGUCAUGAGGACAUCUGAAUAACACUAAAGAUUUAUCGCUAAGGGAUGGGGAUGCGUCCGAUUAGGUAGUCGGCGGGGUAACGGCCCACCGAGCCCUCGAUCGGUAGGGUUCUGAGAGGAAGGUCCCCCACACUGGUACUGAGACACGGACCAGACUCCUACGGGAGGCAGCAGUGAGGAAUAUUGGUCAAUGGGCGUAAGCCUGAACCAGCCAAGUAGCGUGCAGGAUGACGGCCCUAUGGGUUGUAAACUGCUUUUAUACGGGGAUAAAGUGAGGGACGUGUCCCUUAUUGUAGGUACCGUAUGAAUAAGGACCGGGCUAAUUCCGUGCCAGCCGCUGC